RNAcentral lists this ribosomal RNA (424 nucleotides) under Verrucomicrobiota bacterium. RNAcentral's name for it is "Verrucomicrobia bacterium partial 16S ribosomal RNA". It matches the Rfam family "Bacterial small subunit ribosomal RNA", at positions 355 to 776 of the family's 1533-position model. The record is from RNAcentral. Lineage: Bacteria; Pseudomonadati; Verrucomicrobiota.
UGAGGAAUAUUGGUCAAUGGACGCAAGUCUGAACCAGCCAAGUAGCGUGCAGGAUGACGGCCCUAUGGGUUGUAAACUGCUUUUAUAUGGGAAUAAAGUGAGGGACGUGUCUCUUAUUGCAUGUAUCAUACGAAUAAGGACCGGCUAAUUCUGUGCCAGCAGCCGCGGUAAUACGGAAGGUCCAGGCGUUAUCCGGAUUUAUUGGGUUUAAAGGGAGCGUAGGCUGUUUGUUAAGCGUGUUGUGAAAUGUAAGAGCUCAACUUUUAGAUUGCAGCGCGAACUGGCAGACUUGAGUGCGCACAACGUAGGCGGAAUUCAUGGUGUAGCGGUGAAAUGCUUAGAUAACAUGACAAACUCCGAUUGCGGAGGCAGCUUACGGGAGCGCAACUGACGCUAAAGCUCGAAGGUGCGGGUAUCGAACAGG